GUUGUUAGUAUGGUAGUUACUGCUUGUUAUUAUUGCAUGCGACUGUAUUUAUGUUUCUUAUGUUUACAUAAUUAUAUACGUUAUCUCUGCGGGAUUACUUAUGCUGUAUUAUUUUGUUUUGUCUUGCUUUGGUACCUAAUUUUGUCUUUGUUCCAAUGCAGCUUUUCAUUCUAUCCUAUGCGCCGAGGGUCGAUUGGAAGCAGCCUCCCUGCCCUUUCGGGUAGGGGUAAGGUUGUCUACAUAUUACCCUCCCCAGACCCCACCUGGUGGGAGUAUACUGGGUAGUUGUUGUUGUUGUUG
This 300-nucleotide long non-coding RNA is filed under the name Nicotiana benthamiana. RNAcentral describes it as "long non-coding RNA (NBEN_LNC022188)". The record is from RNAcentral. Lineage: Eukaryota; Viridiplantae; Streptophyta; Magnoliopsida; Solanales; Solanaceae.